ACUCCUACGGGAGGCAGCAGUGGGGAAUAUUGCACAAUGGGCGCAAGCCUGAUGCAGCCAUGCCGCGUGUAUGAAGAAGGCCUUCGGGUUGGUAAAGAUACUUUCAGCAGUGAGGAAGGUGGAUGCGUUAAUAGCGUAUUCAUUUGACGUUAGCUGCAGAAGAAGCACCGGCUAACUCCGUGCCAGCAGCCGCGGUAAUACGGAGGGUGCGAGCGUUAAUCGGAAUUACUGGGCGUAAAGCGCAUGCAGGUGGUUUGUUAAGUCAGAUGUGAAAGCCCGGGGCUCAACCUCGGAAUUGCAUUUGAAACUGGCAGACUAGAGUACUGUAGAGGGGGGUAGAAUUGCAGGUGUAGCGGUGAAAUGCGUAGAGAUCUGAAGGAAUACCGGUGGCGAAGGCGG
Molecule: ribosomal RNA, 399 nt
Filed under: uncultured bacterium
Lineage: Bacteria
Description: bacterial SSU rRNA
Rfam family: Bacterial small subunit ribosomal RNA
Source: RNAcentral